This 468-nucleotide ribosomal RNA is filed under the name uncultured bacterium. RNAcentral's name for it is "partial 16S ribosomal RNA". It matches the Rfam family "Bacterial small subunit ribosomal RNA", at positions 28 to 507 of the family's 1533-position model. The record is from RNAcentral.
GACGAACGCUGGCGGCGUGCUUAACACAUGCAAGUCGAACGGAAAGGCCCUGCUUUUGUGGGGUGCUCGAGUGGCGAACGGGUGAGUAACACGUGAGUAACCUGCCCUUGACUUUGGGAUAACUUCAGGAAACUGGGGCUAAUACCGGAUAGGAGCUCCUGCUGCAUGGUGGGGGUUGGAAAGUUUCGGCGGUUGGGGAUGGACUCGCGGCUUAUCAGCUUGUUGGUGGGGUAGUGGCUUACCAAGGCUUUGACGGGUAGCCGGCCUGAGAGGGUUACCGGCCACAUUGGGACUGAGAUACGGACCAGACUGCUACGGGAGGCAGCAGUGGGGAAUAUUGCGCAAUGGGCGGAAGCCUGAUGCAGCAACGCCGCGUGCGGGAUGACGGCCUUCGGGUUGUAAACCGCUUUCGCCUGUGACGAAGCGUGAGUGACGGUAAUGGGUAAAGAAGCACCGGCUAACUACGUG